UAGGGAAUAUUGGUCAAUGGAUGGAAGUCUGAACCAGCCAUGCCGCGUGCAGGAAGAAGGCCUUCUGGGUUGUAAACUGCUUUUGCCAGGGGAUAAAAUACCCAUGCGUGGGGAAUUGCAAGUACCUGGUGAAUAAGCCACGGCUAACUACGUGCCAGCAGCCGCGGUAAUACGUAGGUGACGAGCGUUGUCCGGAUUUAUUGGGUUUAAAGGGUGCGUAGGCGGCCUAUUAAGUCAGUGCUGAAAUACCCCGGCUCAACCGGGGGGGUGGCAUUGAUACUGAUGGGCUUGAGUACAGAUGAGGUAGGCGGAAUUGACGGUGUAGCGGUGAAAUGCAUAGAUAUCGUCAAGAACACCUAUAGCGAAGGCAGCUUACUAAGCUGUAACUGACGCUGAGGCACGAAAGUGUGGGGAUCAAACAGGAUUAGAUACCCUGGUAGUCCACACUGUAAACGUUGAUAACUCGCUGUUUGCGAUACACAGCAAG
Molecule: ribosomal RNA, 487 nt
Filed under: uncultured Bacteroidota bacterium
Lineage: Bacteria; Pseudomonadati; Bacteroidota
Description: bacterial SSU rRNA
Rfam family: Bacterial small subunit ribosomal RNA
Source: RNAcentral